UAUAGCUCAGUUGGUAGAGCAUGAGAAUCUUAAUCUCAGGAUCAUGGGUUUGAGCCCCACAUUGGGCAAAA
Molecule: non-coding RNA, 71 nt
Organism: Podarcis lilfordi (Lilford's wall lizard)
Lineage: Eukaryota; Metazoa; Chordata; Lepidosauria; Squamata; Lacertidae
Source: the annotation of a GenBank genome assembly